Meleagris gallopavo (turkey) is the source of this 532-nucleotide non-coding RNA. The record is from RefSeq and is a predicted model, not a curated record. Lineage: Eukaryota; Metazoa; Chordata; Aves; Galliformes; Phasianidae.
GGGGGGUACAGGGUUGUGGGACCCCCCCGCUGCCCUGGCCCUGCUAUGCUGAGCACUGUUCUGCUGCAGACCCAUGAGCUGCACCGAGCCUACCAGCCCACCUACCUGCUGACCCUCAGCACCGAGAACAGUGAUGCGGGAUCACAGCCAGACCUCAGCUUCAGCUGCACCAUGGAGCAGCUGCAGGAUUUGGUCGGGAAGCUGAAGGAUGCUGCCAAGAGCCUGGAGAGAGCAACACAGCUGUGACCGAGGGCAGACGGGCACUGCGUGAGAACAUUCCCAAUGGCAAAUGCCCUUCUGUGCACAUCUCUGCACAUCUCUUGAUCCAAACCAUUUUAUAGUGAUUUCUAGAUAUGAAUUAAGCAAACUGUUGGGAUAGAAUAUGCAGUCGGUAUUCCUUGCUCCUGUUAUAUUUUCUUGAAAAUUAACACUUCAGUUAAAUAUUGCCUCAACCGUUGUGUCUCCAGAGCAUCCCUCCUCUUUCAUGCCGUGCAUUUUCCUUCGCGUUCCAUUAAAGACGAUUUUCCCUUCC